UUUGUUCAACGGCCGCGGUAUCCUAACCGUGCGAAGGUAGCGUAAUCACUUGUCUUUUAAAUGGGGACGGGUAUGAAUGGCAUCACGAGGGUUAUACUGUCUCCUUUUUCUAAUCAGUGAAACUAAUCUUCCCGUGAAGAAGCGGGAAUAAACAUAUAAGACGAGAAGACCCUAUGGAGCUUUAAACUCAAUAACAAAUACUAACCUUACAUUAACCUUCAGAAUAUUAACCUUAAUUUUAGUAUUAUGAUUAUUAGUUUUAGGUUGGGGUGACCGCGGAGUAAAAAUUAACCUCCACAUUGAACGGGACCUAUCCCUGAGCCAAGAACUACAGCUCAAAGCACCAACAAAUUGACAUUAAUUGACCCAAUAUUUUGAUCAACGAACCAAGUUACCCUAGGGAUAACAGCGCAAUCCACUUCAAGAGCUCCUAUCGACAAGUGGGUUUACGACCUCGAUGUUGGAUCAGGGUCUCCCAGUGGUGCAGCCGCUACUAAAGGUUCGUUUGUUCAACGAUUAAAACCCU
RNAcentral lists this ribosomal RNA (526 nucleotides) under Osteocephalus taurinus (Manaus slender-legged treefrog). Its description in RNAcentral is "partial 16S ribosomal RNA". It matches the Rfam family "Bacterial large subunit ribosomal RNA", at positions 1919 to 2597 of the family's 2925-position model. The record is from RNAcentral. Lineage: Eukaryota; Metazoa; Chordata; Amphibia; Anura; Hylidae.